RNAcentral lists this ribosomal RNA (428 nucleotides) under uncultured archaeon. Its description in RNAcentral is "bacterial SSU rRNA". It matches the Rfam family "Archaeal small subunit ribosomal RNA", at positions 474 to 903 of the family's 1478-position model. The record is from RNAcentral.
UACCUGCAGCUCAAGUAGUGACCGCUAUUAUUGGGCCUAAAACGUUCGUAGCCGGUUUGGUAAAUGCCUGGGUAAAUAGUGUAGCUUAACUAUACGAAUUCCGGGUAGACUGCCAAACUUGAGACCGGGAGAGGCUAGAGGUACUCCUGGGGUAGAGGUGAAAUUCUGUAAUCCUGAGGGGACCACCAGUGGCGAAGGCGUCUAGCUAGAACGGGUCUGACGGUGAGGGACGAAGCCCUGGGGCGCGAACCGGAUUAGAUACCCGGGUAGUCCAGGGUGUAAACGCUGCUUGCUUGAUGUUAGUUGGGCUCCGAGCCCAAUUAGUGUCGGAGGGAAGUUGUUAAGCAAGCUGCCUGGGAAGUACGAUCGCAAGAUUGAACUUAAAGGAAUUGGCGGGGGAGCACAGCAACGGGUGGAGCGUGCGGUUU